UACGGGGGGAGCAAGCGUUGUUCGGAUUUACUGGGCGUAAAGGGCGCGUAGGCGGCGCAACAAGUCACUUGUGAAAUCUCCGGGCUUAACCCGGAGCGGCCAAGUGAUACUGUCGUGCUAGAGUGCGGAAGGGGCUGCUGGAAUUCUCGGUGUAGCGGUGAAAUGCGUAGAUAUCGAGAGGAACACCUGCGGCGAAGGCGGGUAGCUGGGCCGACACUGACGCUGAGGCGCGAAAGCCAGGGGAGCGAACGGG
This 253-nucleotide ribosomal RNA is filed under the name uncultured bacterium. Its description in RNAcentral is "partial 16S ribosomal RNA". It matches the Rfam family "Bacterial small subunit ribosomal RNA", at positions 524 to 776 of the family's 1533-position model. The record is from RNAcentral.